AAAUGAAUAGACGGGGACCCGCACAAGCAGCGGAGCAUGUGGUUUAAUUCGAAGCAACGCGAAGAACCUUACCAGGGCUUGACAUCCCUCUGACAGAUCCGUAAUGGGAUCCUCCCUUCGGGGCAGAGGUGACAGGUGGUGCAUGGUUGUCGUCAGCUCGUGUCGUGAGAUGUUGGGUUAAGUCCCGCAACGAGCGCAACCCUUGUCAUUAGUUGCCAUCAGGUUAAGCUGGGCACUCUAGUGAGACUGCCGGGGAUAACUCGGAGGAAGGUGGGGAUGACGUCAAAUCAUCAUGCCCCUUAUGUCCUGGGCUACACACGUGCUACAAUGGCCGGAACAAAGAGCAGCGAACUCGCGAGGGUGAGCGAAACUCAAAAUCCGGUCCCAGUUCGGAUUGCAGGCUGAAACUCGCCUGCAUGAAGUCGGAGUUGCUAGUAAUCGUGAAUCAGAAUGUCACGGUGAAUGCGUUCCCGGGUCUUGUACACACCGCCCGU
Molecule: ribosomal RNA, 494 nt
Filed under: uncultured bacterium
Lineage: Bacteria
Description: bacterial SSU rRNA
Rfam family: Bacterial small subunit ribosomal RNA
Source: RNAcentral